CAGGGAAUCUUCCGCAAUGGACGCAAGUCUGACGGAGCAACGCCGCGUGAGUGAAGAAGGAUUUCGGUUCGUAAAACUCUGUUGUUAGAGAAGAACAGCGCAUAGAGUAACUGUUAUGCGUGUGACGGUAUCUAACCAGAAAGCCACGGCUAACUACGUGCCAGCAGCCGCGGUAAUACGUAGGUGGCAAGCGUUGUCCGGAUUUAUUGGGCGUAAAGCGAGCGCAGGCGGUCAAUUAAGUCUGAUGUGAAAGCCCCCGGCUCAACCGGGGAGGGUCAUUGGAAACUGGUUGACUUGAGUGCAGAAGAGGAGAGUGGAAUUCCAUGUGUAGCGGUGAAAUGCGUAGAUAUAUGGAGGAACACCAGUGGCGAAGGCGACUCUCUGGUCUGUAACUGACGCUGAGGCUCGAAAGCGUGGGUAGCAAACAGG
This 429-nucleotide ribosomal RNA is filed under the name Bacteroidota bacterium. Its description in RNAcentral is "Bacteroidetes bacterium partial 16S ribosomal RNA". It matches the Rfam family "Bacterial small subunit ribosomal RNA", at positions 355 to 776 of the family's 1533-position model. Lineage: Bacteria; Pseudomonadati; Bacteroidota. The record is from RNAcentral.